Molecule: ribosomal RNA, 253 nt
Filed under: uncultured bacterium
Lineage: Bacteria
Description: partial 16S ribosomal RNA
Rfam family: Bacterial small subunit ribosomal RNA
Source: RNAcentral
UACGGGGGGGGCAAGCGUUGUUCGGAAUUACUGGGCGUAAAGGGCUCGUAGGUGGCCAACUACGUCAGACGUGAAAUCCCUCAGCUUAACUGGGGAACUGCGUCUGAUACUGGAUGGCUUGAGAUUGGGAGAGGGAUGCGGAAUUCCAGGUGUAGCGGUGAAAUGCGUAGAGAUCCGGAAGAACACCGGUGGCGAAGGCGGCCUGCUGGGCUAUGGCUGACACUGAGGCGCGACAGCGUGGGGAGCAAACAGG